This 1686-nucleotide ribosomal RNA is filed under the name Salmonella enterica. RNAcentral's name for it is "partial 23S ribosomal RNA". It matches the Rfam family "Bacterial large subunit ribosomal RNA", at positions 1273 to 2925 of the family's 2925-position model. RNAcentral also lists the same sequence under 3 other names. Lineage: Bacteria; Pseudomonadati; Pseudomonadota; Gammaproteobacteria; Enterobacterales; Enterobacteriaceae. The record is from RNAcentral.
CUGGAGGUAUCAGAAGUGCGAAUGCUGACAUAAGUAACGAUAAAGCGGGUGAAAAGCCCGCUCGCCGGAAGACCAAGGGUUCCUGUCCAACGUUAAUCGGGGCAGGGUGAGUCGACCCCUAAGGCGAGGCCGAAAGGCGUAGUCGAUGGGAAACGGGUUAAUAUUCCCGUACUUGGUGUUACUGCGAAGGGGGGACGGAGAAGGCUAUGUUGGCCGGGCGACGGUUGUCCCGGUUUAAGCGUGUAGGUGUGUGUUCCAGGUAAAUCCGGUUCACUUUAACACUGAGGCGUGAUGACGAGGCACUACGGUGCUGAAGCAACAAAUGCCCUGCUUCCAGGAAAAGCCUCUAAGCAUCAGGUAACAUCAAAUCGUACCCCAAACCGACACAGGUGGUCAGGUAGAGAAUACCAAGGCGCUUGAGAGAACUCGGGUGAAGGAACUAGGCAAAAUGGUGCCGUAACUUCGGGAGAAGGCACGCUGACACGUAGGUGAAGUGAUUUACUCAUGGAGCUGAAGUCAGUCGAAGAUACCAGCUGGCUGCAACUGUUUAUUAAAAACACAGCACUGUGCAAACACGAAAGUGGACGUAUACGGUGUGACGCCUGCCCGGUGCCGGAAGGUUAAUUGAUGGGGUCAGCGCAAGCGAAGCUCCUGAUCGAAGCCCCGGUAAACGGCGGCCGUAACUAUAACGGUCCUAAGGUAGCGAAAUUCCUUGUCGGGUAAGUUCCGACCUGCACGAAUGGCGUAAUGAUGGCCAGGCUGUCUCCACCCGAGACUCAGUGAAAUUGAACUCGCUGUGAAGAUGCAGUGUACCCGCGGCAAGACGGAAAGACCCCGUGAACCUUUACUAUAGCUUGACACUGAACAUUGAGCCUUGAUGUGUAGGAUAGGUGGGAGGCUUUGAAGUGUGGACGCCAGUCUGCAUGGAGCCGGCCUUGAAAUACCACCCUUUAAUGUUUGAUGUUCUAACGUGGACCCGUGAUCCGGGUUGCGGACAGUGUCUGGUGGGUAGUUUGACUGGGGCGGUCUCCUCCUAAAGAGUAACGGAGGAGCACGAAGGUUGGCUAAUCCUGGUCGGACAUCAGGAGGUUAGUGCAAUGGCAUAAGCCAGCUUGACUGCGAGCGUGACGGCGCGAGCAGGUGCGAAAGCAGGUCAUAGUGAUCCGGUGGUUCUGAAUGGAAGGGCCAUCGCUCAACGGAUAAAAGGUACUCCGGGGAUAACAGGCUGAUACCGCCCAAGAGUUCAUAUCGACGGCGGUGUUUGGCACCUCGAUGUCGGCUCAUCACAUCCUGGGGCUGAAGUAGGUCCCAAGGGUAUGGCUGUUCGCCAUUUAAAGUGGUACGCGAGCUGGGUUUAGAACGUCGUGAGACAGUUCGGUCCCUAUCUGCCGUGGGCGCUGGAGAACUGAGGGGGGCUGCUCCUAGUACGAGAGGACCGGAGUGGACGCAUCACUGGUGUUCGGGUUGUCAUGCCAAUGGCACUGCCCGGUAGCUAAAUGCGGAAGAGAUAAGUGCUGAAAGCAUCUAAGCACGAAACUUGCCCCGAGAUGAGUUCUCCCUGAGACUUAGAGUCUCCUGAAGGAACGUUGAAGACGACGACGUUGAUAGGCCGGGUGUGUAAGCGCAGCGAUGCGUUGAGCUAACCGGUACUAAUGAACCGUGAGGCUUAACCUUACAACGCCGAAG